AGACAUGCAAGUCGUACGAGAAAGUCUCUUCGGAGAUGAGUAAAGUGGCGCACGGGUGAGUAACGCGUGGGUAAUCUGCCCUUAGGUUUGGGAUAACCCCGGGAAACCGGAGCUAAUACCGAAUGAGACCACGAUGACUUCGGUCGACGUGGGAAAAGGUGGCCUCUUCUUGAAAGCUAUCGCCGAAGGAUGAGCCCGCGUUUGAUUAGCUAGUUGGUGAGGUAAUGGCUCACCAAGGCGACGAUCAAUAGCUGGUCUGAGAGGAUGAUCAGCCACACUGGAACUGAGACACGGUCCAGACUCCUACGGGAGGCAGCAGUCAGGAAUAUUGGGCAAUGGGCGAAAGCCUGACCCAGCAACGCCGCGUGAAGGAUGAAGGCCUUCGGGUCGUAAACUUCUGUCGAGAGGGAAGAAUGUGUGCGGGUGAAUAAUCCGCGCAUUUGACGGUACCUCCAAAGGAAGCACCGGCUAACUCCGUGCCAGCAGCCGCGGUAAUACGGAGGGUGCAAGCGUUGUUCGGAUUCAUUGGGCGUAAAGCGAGUGUAGGCGGUUUGACAAGUCGGAUGUGAAAUCCCGGGGCCCAACCCCGGAACUGCAUCCGAUACUGUCUGGCUAGAGUCCCGGAGAGGGUGGCGGAAUUCCCGGUGUAGGGGUGAAAUCCGUAGAUAUCGGGAGGAACACCAGUGGCGAAGGCGGCCACCUGGACGGUGACUGACGCUGAGACUCGAAAGCGUGGGUAGCAAACAGGAUUAGAUACCUGGUAGUCCACGCUGUAAACGGUGAGUGCUCGUCGUCGUGGGUAUUGACCCCUGCGGUGACCAAGUUAACACAUGAAGCACUCCGCCUGGGAAGUACGGUCGCAAGACUAAAACUCAAAGAAAUUGACGGGGGCCCGCACAAGCGGUGGAGCAUGUUGUUUAAUUCGAAGCAACGCGCAGAACCUUACCUGGAUUUGACAUCUCU
RNAcentral lists this ribosomal RNA (963 nucleotides) under uncultured bacterium. Its description in RNAcentral is "bacterial SSU rRNA". It matches the Rfam family "Bacterial small subunit ribosomal RNA", at positions 51 to 991 of the family's 1533-position model. The record is from RNAcentral.